This 637-nucleotide unclassified non-coding RNA is filed under the name Hevea brasiliensis (rubber tree). The record is from RNAcentral. Lineage: Eukaryota; Viridiplantae; Streptophyta; Magnoliopsida; Malpighiales; Euphorbiaceae.
GUUGGGAGGAAGGUACAAUUGUUAAAGCAACUGCCAUGUUAUCAGCAUGGAGUUCAACAAUAAUCAUUUUGUCCGGGAAACAAGGUCCUCUAGUUGCUCUAGCAGCAGUAAUUCAAGGGUGGUGUGUAAUUAGGUUGAUGACGUUGGAACGAGCAAAAAAUGACUAUAACGACAGUUCAACUUCAUAUUCUUCUCCGGUGGCAAAAUGGAGUCUUUUAGCUGUGUGUCUGUUUUUCUGCACUGGACAUUGGUGUGCCUUUGAUGGCCUCCGCUAUGCUUCCGCAUUCGUUGGGUUUGAUGAAUUCAACCUUAUUCGUCAAGCAGCCCUGCUUACCAUAGAUACAUUUGGUUUCUCCCACAUUCUUCCAGUAAUGGGACUUCCACUUAUUGUUGCUUGCCGACGACAUCCAGAAGUCCAGGCUGAGAAAAGGAAACCACUGUUUUUUCUCCAGUUAUGCCAGGUGUAUUUGAUGUACGGACUUACUAUGGCUAUAUCUAUGACAUUUACAAUUAUAUGUGUUACUAUUCAAAGGCGACACUUGAUGGUAUGGGGUUUAUUUGCUCCAAAGUUCGUCUUUGAUGCUGUGGGUCUUCUUCUUACAGACCUCUUCAUAUGCCUUGCAUCACUGUACUAUUU